This is a non-coding RNA of Bos taurus (domestic cattle), 72 nucleotides long. The record is from Rfam. Lineage: Eukaryota; Metazoa; Chordata; Mammalia; Artiodactyla; Bovidae.
UCCCUGGUGGCUCAGAGGUUAAAGCGUCUGCCUGCAAUGUGGAUGACCUGGGUUCGAUCCCUGGGUUAGGAA